This is a long non-coding RNA of Rhagoletis pomonella (apple maggot), 487 nucleotides long. RefSeq lists it as uncharacterized. The transcript is spliced from 2 exons. The record is from RefSeq and is a predicted model, not a curated record. NCBI's taxonomy places the organism in Eukaryota, Metazoa, Arthropoda, Insecta, Diptera, Tephritidae.
AAGGGGUACAAGGAGGACAGCGUUUUAUUGCCUGCAUUACUGGGUUUCGCCUUAACUGGCAUGAUUCUAAUAAUUGCGAUCUGCUUGGUUGCACGCAACAAACGCGCCAUCGUCUCCUCGGUGCGCAUGCGGAAUCGCAAUGAUGUCGAAGAGGCCGGUGCGGAUGAUAAUACAACACUGCUAACCAACGCUAAUCUCUCCGAUGAGGACUAAACUAUGCAGCGCGUCUUUACUAGUUUGACUUAACGCCACUCUACUUAAAUAAAUGACACACAUACAUACAUACGUACCAAAGAGCUUACAUAACUAUAUGACGGCAUAAAAAAAUCCAAGUUUCGCCUGCUUCUAACCAAUAUCUGCAAAAUUCAAUAGUACGUAUGAGUGUGUGUGUGUGGCCAGCAUGGAAAGAAAAUGAAACGGAGCCACCUAACUAAGCACCCUCAACAAUUGCCCACGUUUUCAUUAAUAACGUUCGUGCGCAUACACA